CAAAGGCUUGGUCCUAGCUUUACUAUUAUUUACUACCAAACUUACACAUGCAAGCAUCCGCACCCCCGUGAGAAUGCCCUUAACCCUCUUAUGAGAUCAAGGAGCUGGUAUCAGGCGCAUAUAAUUGCCCACAACACCUUGCUUAGCCACACCCCCAAGGGAAUUCAGCAGUGAUAAACAUUAAGCCAUAAGUGUAAACUUGACUUAGUUAAGGUUUUUAGAGCCGGUAAAACUCGUGCCAGCCACCGCGGUUAUACGAGAGGCUCAAGAUAAUAGAAAUCGGCGUAAAGAGUGGUUAAGUAUUAAAUAACUAAAGUUAAACAUCUUCCAGGCUGUUAUACGCACCCGAAGAUAUGAAGCUCAUUUACGAAAGUGACUUUAUAUAACUGAACCCACGAAAGCUAUGAAACAAACUGGGAUUAGAUACCCCACUAUG
RNAcentral lists this ribosomal RNA (436 nucleotides) under Hippocampus hippocampus (short-snouted seahorse). Its description in RNAcentral is "partial small subunit ribosomal RNA". It matches the Rfam family "Bacterial small subunit ribosomal RNA", at positions 7 to 794 of the family's 1533-position model. The record is from RNAcentral. Lineage: Eukaryota; Metazoa; Chordata; Actinopteri; Syngnathiformes; Syngnathidae.